GAAAUGCGAUACGUAGUGUGAAUUGCAGAAUUCAGUGAAUCAUCGAAUCUUUGAACGCACAUUGCGCCCUUUGGUAUUCCAAAGGGCAUGCCUGUUCGAGCGUCAUUUGUACCCUCAAGCUUUGCUUGGUGUUGGGCGUCUUUUGUCUUUGGCCUCGCCCAAAGACUCGCCUUAAAACGAUUGGCAGCCGGCCUACUGGUUUCGCAGCGCAGCACAUUUUUGCGUUUGCAAUCAGCACAAGGACGGCAAUCCAUCAAGACUACAUUUUUACGUUUGACCUCGGAUCAGGUAGGGAUACCCGCUGAACUUAAGC
RNAcentral lists this unclassified non-coding RNA (313 nucleotides) under plant metagenome. Its description in RNAcentral is "partial contains 5.8S ribosomal RNA, internal transcribed spacer 2, and large subunit ribosomal RNA". The stretch from base 1 to 105 matches the Rfam family "5.8S ribosomal RNA", at positions 50 to 154 of the family's 154-position model. The record is from RNAcentral.